Molecule: ribosomal RNA, 495 nt
Filed under: uncultured bacterium
Lineage: Bacteria
Description: partial 16S ribosomal RNA
Rfam family: Bacterial small subunit ribosomal RNA
Source: RNAcentral
ACGAACGCUGGCGGCGUGCCUAAUACAUGCAAGUAGAACGCUGAAGAGAGGAGCUUGCUCUUCUUGGAUGAGUUGCGAACGGGUGAGUAACGCGUAGGUAACCUGCCUUGUAGCGGGGGAUAACUAUUGGAAACGAUAGCUAAUACCGCAUAACAAUAGAUGACACAUGUCAUUUAUUUGAAAGGGGCAAUUGCUCCACUACAAGAUGGACCUGCGUUGUAUUAGCUAGUAGGUGAGGUAAUGGCUCACCUAGGCGACGAUACAUAGCCGACCUGAGAGGGUGAUCGGCCACACUGGGACUGAGACACGGCCCAGACUCCUACGGGAGGCAGCAGUAGGGAAUCUUCGGCAAUGGGGGCAACCCUGACCGAGCAACGCCGCGUGAGUGAAGAAGGUUUUCGGAUCGUAAAGCUCUGUUGUAAGUCAAGAACGGGUGUGAGAGUGGAAAGUUCACACUGUGACGGUAGCUUACCAGAAAGGGACGGCUAACUACGU